CUCGUAGGCGGCCAACUAAGUCACACGUGAAAUCCCUCAGCUUAACUGGGGAACUGCGUGUGAUACUGGAUGGCUUGGAUCCGGGAGAGGGAUGCGGAAUUCCAGGUGUAGCGGUGAAAUGCGUAGAUAUCUGGAGGAACACCGGUGGCGAAGGCGGCAUCCUGGACCGGUAUUGACGCUGAGGAGCGAAAGCCAGGGGAGCGAAAC
This 207-nucleotide ribosomal RNA is filed under the name uncultured bacterium. RNAcentral describes it as "partial 16S ribosomal RNA". It matches the Rfam family "Bacterial small subunit ribosomal RNA", at positions 568 to 774 of the family's 1533-position model. The record is from RNAcentral.